RNAcentral lists this ribosomal RNA (301 nucleotides) under uncultured bacterium. RNAcentral describes it as "partial 16S ribosomal RNA". It matches the Rfam family "Bacterial small subunit ribosomal RNA", at positions 509 to 807 of the family's 1533-position model. The record is from RNAcentral.
CAGCAGCCGCGGUAAUACGAAGGGUGCAAGCGUUACUCGGAAUUACUGGGCGUAAAGCGUGCGUAGGUGGUGGUUUAAGUCCGUUGUGAAAGCCCUGGGCUCAACCUGGGAAUUGCAGUGGAUACUGGGUCACUAGAGUGUGGUAGAGGAUAGUGGAAUUUCCGGUGUAGCAGUGAAAUGCGUAGAGAUCGGAAGGAACAUCUGUGGCGAAGGCGACUAUCUGGGCCAACACUGACGCUGAGGUGCGAAAGCGUGGGGAGCAAACAGGAUUAGAUACCCGCGUAGUCCCUGUCUCUUAUAC